RNAcentral lists this ribosomal RNA (475 nucleotides) under uncultured organism. Its description in RNAcentral is "partial 16S ribosomal RNA". It matches the Rfam family "Bacterial small subunit ribosomal RNA", at positions 335 to 801 of the family's 1533-position model. The record is from RNAcentral.
ACUCCUACGGGAGGCAGCAGUGGGGAAUAUUGCACAAUGGGCGCAAGCCUGAUGCAGCCAUGCCGCGUGUAUGAAGAAGGCCUUCGGGUUGUAAAGUACUUUCAGCGGGGAGGAAGGCGAUAAGGUUAAUAACCUUGUUGAUUGACGUUACCCGCAGAAGAAGCACCGGCUAACUCCGUGCCAGCAGCCGCGGUAAUACGGAGGGUGCAAGCGUUAAUCGGAAUUACUGGGCGUAAAGCGCACGCAGGCGGUCUGUCAAGUCGGAUGUGAAAUCCCCGGGCUCAACCUGGGAACUGCAUUCGAAACUGGCAGGCUAGAGUCUUGUAGAGGGGGGUAGAAUUCCAGGUGUAGCGGUGAAAUGCGUAGAGAUCUGGAGGAAUACCGGUGGCGAAGGCGGCCCCCUGGACAAAGACUGACGCUCAGGUGCGAAAGCGUGGGGAGCAAACAGGAUUAGAAACCCCGGUAGUCCCAUGAU